UACGGAGGGGGCGAGCGUUGUUCGGAAUCAUUGGGCGUAAAGGGCGCGUAGGCGGCCUUGAAAGUCAGAUGUGAAAGCCCUUGGCUUAACCAAGGAACUGCAUCUGAAACUGCUAGGCUUGAAUUCGGGAAGGGAGAGUGGAAUUCCCAGUGUAGCGGUGAAAUGCGUAGAUACUGGGAGGAACACCGGUGGCGAAGGCGGCUCUCUGGACCGAUAUUGACGCUGAGGCGCGAAAGCUAGGGGAGCAAACGGG
This 253-nucleotide ribosomal RNA is filed under the name uncultured bacterium. RNAcentral describes it as "partial 16S ribosomal RNA". It matches the Rfam family "Bacterial small subunit ribosomal RNA", at positions 524 to 776 of the family's 1533-position model. The record is from RNAcentral.